GGACACUUCCUUACUUUCGCAUGAUUUGGGGUUUUAUCUAUUUGAGCGGGGAUGCGAUAGCGUGGGUUACUAAUUUGCGCUUUUAUGUUUUGUAGUGACGAUGCUGGUUACACGCUCCCAGUCUGCCGGGGCGGAUGAUGCUGCACACCCCGAGGAGGUCGAGACCUCCGCUACUUCCGGAUCUAGUGAGGUCCGUGACUUGAGGACCCAGCUUGCGGUCCUCACUGAUCUGUUGGCGCAGCAGACGGCAGCGGCGUAGCGACAGGCUGAGGUGGCUCAGCGGCAGGAGGCGCGGAUGAAGCAUUUUGAGGACCUCCUACUUCAGUAGGCUGCAGCUUCAAGGGAGACCCAGGUUCCCACACCGCCAGCACCCGUGGUGGACGUCGCAUCGAGGGCGCAAUCCCCAGCGCCCAGUUCUUCACGUGCGCCACCGGCGACCACACCUCGGGAGGAGGUGGCUGCGGUACCCCCAGCUCUGAGACCGGCCACGGGGGCAGCUCUCCCUUUGAGAGCCGAGGGAGUCGAGCGGGAUCGGCUCAUGGAUCGCCUCAGUGAGUUCAGGAGGUGCAACCCGAGGAUGUUUGAUGGCGAGAACGUCGACCAC
RNAcentral lists this long non-coding RNA (604 nucleotides) under Ananas comosus (pineapple). Its description in RNAcentral is "long non-coding RNA (ACOM_LNC039008)". Lineage: Eukaryota; Viridiplantae; Streptophyta; Magnoliopsida; Poales; Bromeliaceae. The record is from RNAcentral.